RNAcentral lists this long non-coding RNA (1202 nucleotides) under Gallus gallus (chicken). RNAcentral describes it as "lncRNA (ENSGALG00010004660.1)". Lineage: Eukaryota; Metazoa; Chordata; Aves; Galliformes; Phasianidae. The record is from RNAcentral.
CAAGUAAUUGAUAGUCAUUAUUUGUAUUCAAAGUGCCUUCUUCAGCUCUAGGUCCUGCAAGAAUGUCAGUGUUGUAUGCGGAGUAAUGCUUCUUGUCUGCUUUGGGCUCCCCCUUUGACUGCUGGGGUCUGUGCUCUUUGCAGCCUGACCCCCUUGCAUUUGGCUGUACUGAAGUGGAUGAUGAUAGCAGGUGCCUUGUUCCUGAAGAGAUCCAAAGAGCUUGCCCUGUUAGCAGCCAGGUGUUGUUAUCUAUCUGGUAUAUUCACCCAGGUAGGCUAGUGGAGCGCAUGAACGGCUGGCUUCUGUUGGUUAUUGUUUGUAUUGGCUUAUUGACCUGGUGUGCCUUUAAUGUGACUAAAGGAAAGUUGCUGAGCUGCUAUCAGUGUAAUGAUGCUGAGUGGGAUGUGCUUGCUUGGGUAGGCAAUGGCUGUACCUGUGGUAGGAGGCUGUGUUCAUCUGAAGCCAAACAAUUUAAUGAAGUGGAUGAGAUAGUAAAUAGAAAUGUCUUUUAGAGAAGAGUCUUUAAAUUCUCAACUACAGUAGCUGAGCAGUAAUGUCAUAGGCAUCUACCACUUGGUCUUGAGUUUCUUUUUGGUUCCACUCUGCUGGCUGUGUUGUCAGUGGGGCGGAGUGUGCUGGAGAGAAGCAAUGUCUGCUGAAGCAGCUUUUGGAAGGCUGAUUCCCUUCUGACCCUGUGACAGAACCUGUGCUGGCAGACUUGCAAGCUGAGGAAAAUGGUGCUGCAGUUCUGUGAAAUUCACUUUCUCUUACCGUCUUUCUGUCAGGAAAAUAGCAGUAGCUGGCCUGCUUGGGCUUGCACUGAGCUUCUGGCCCCUCCUCUUUCAUCAGAGGAAAACGUUUUGGAAUUUGGGAAAGGAAUAUUUGCUUUCUGCCUUUGAUGCUGUUUGGUCCUCUGCCAUCCGGAGCUGUUAUUCCUCCUCCCGUUCCCUUCAUCUCAGAGGUCACUGACGUCCUGCCCUUUGUUCGCAGCCCCUCUUGGGCACAUCUGGCCGCACUGUUGAGUAAUUGCUCUCUCUCGUAGAGGAGGAGGUGCUGUCUAAACAUACGCCCUACUUACAGCAACGUGAUCAGAAGUUUUUCAGCUGCUUCCAUGUGGUGUGUGGAUGUGUCUGGACAGGCAGGGAGCUCCAGAGAGCAGCACGGGGAUGAUGGACUGAGGCCCUGCCGAACACUCUUCUUCC